GGGGCCGUAGCUCAGCUAGGCAGAGCGACGGGCUCAUAACCCGUUGGUCGCCGGUUCGAGUCCGGCCGGCCCCACCA
RNAcentral lists this transfer RNA (77 nucleotides) under Thermoplasmata archaeon. RNAcentral's name for it is "tRNA-Ile". It matches the Rfam family "tRNA". From Rfam's summary of the family: Transfer RNA (tRNA) molecules are approximately 80 nucleotides in length. Their secondary structure includes four short double-helical elements and three loops (D, anti-codon, and T loops). Further hydrogen bonds mediate the characteristic L-shaped molecular structure. tRNAs have two regions of fundamental functional importance: the anti-codon, which is responsible for specific mRNA codon recognition, and the 3' end, to which the tRNAs corresponding amino acid is attached (by aminoacyl-tRNA synthetases). tRNAs cope with the degeneracy of the genetic code in two manners: having more than one tRNA (with a specific anti-codon) for a particular amino acid; and 'wobble' base-pairing, i.e. permitting non-standard base-pairing at the 3rd anti-codon position. Lineage: Archaea; Methanobacteriati; Thermoplasmatota; Thermoplasmata. RNAcentral also lists the same sequence under 2 other names. The record is from RNAcentral.